UACUAUGUUGUGACAGCGAAGAACCUUCUACAAAGUUACGGCGUGACCGUAACCGAAAUGACGCACUUUGCAGACGUACAGAGAUUACAUAAGUAUUGAUGUAAGGGUGUACAUAUCGAGGCGAAGAAAUUCUUUCACGGAUUGCGAUCAAUCAAAUCCCUGUUUACCCUUCAGCGAGCGCCGACGUGUUUACAGAACCGCGCCGAAAUACUUAGCAGUCAAGAGCUCGUACAGUACUAACAAGACCCUCGACGAUACAAUGUCAUUAUCAAGCAAAUGUGUGAACUUGAUAUUACCGCGAGCGAGCGGAGCCAGACUUUACACCGUGACCGGCGAUUUCGAUGUCCUCGUUCAACGGCCAGGCGAGAGUACGACCCAAGUGACGUCACACGAGCGAUUGUAGAGACAAUGACAGCCGACAUUUAAUAAAAUCAUCUUAUACUAUUAAA
Molecule: long non-coding RNA, 449 nt
Organism: Melitaea cinxia (Glanville fritillary)
Lineage: Eukaryota; Metazoa; Arthropoda; Insecta; Lepidoptera; Nymphalidae
Exons: 2
Source: RefSeq, a predicted model, not a curated record